GCCCGCCAGCUCCCCGCGCCGCGCCCGGGCCGCUCUGCCGGUUCCGCGAGUCGCGCCGCCCUCGGUGCCGCGGCGUCGCCAUGGCGACCGGGCGGCGGCGAGUUGGCGGCGCCGCGGCCGACGCAACGAAGGUCAAGCGCGGGGUUGGGGGGGCGUCGCGGGGUCCGGAAGUGCCCCCAGUGGUCCCUGGAUCUCGGGACAGGGUCCUGUCACAUCCGAGCCCCAACCUGGAGUCCCGCGUGGCAGGGGCGCAGGAUGCUGGGGGGCGCGCAGGCGGCCCCCACCACCGGCCUUCCAGACCCUGCGCAGAGCAAGACCUUGCUGUGCUGGAAGGAGGUGGAAGAGGCACUGUACUCAGUUGCUGGGGCCGCUGCCUAAAUCAACAUGCCUGAACCAAAGCUGCCCCAGCUCAGGAAGGUGGCCUGGCCUUGGCACAGCAAAUAAUGGAAAGACACAUACCCUGACCAGUAGACAGAGUUCCUGAGGAACUUGCCUCAACUUCCUUGCAAAGAAAGCCAGGCUGCACGGGAAAGCACAUGGCUACUGUGAUGAGCUUACAAUGGAACAACAGUUCACUCGGGGGAAACCUAUGCUCCAGCUUCAGGGGGAGCAGAGGUGGCCAGAAAGGCAGCAGCCCCGGCAGGAGCAGCAGGAGCCCCCAGCAGAGCAGCCGCCAUGCGGCAGCCAGUGGGGCAGGGGGUUGGCCACAGCGCUUCCCGAGCCACCGCUGAAGACAAGGAGUCAUGUGAGACCACCAGAAUUCGAGGGGAUGAGGCUGAGGGACACAAAGGCUGUGUGUCCCAAGGUGACCUGGAGGCUGAGUGACCACCUGCCCAUGAGCCAGAAUCACACUGCAGGAUGGUUGGAGAAGCAACGAGAAUCAGAUACCAAACCCUACUCCACGCAGAACGUGGAGGGAGUCUUACUCGACAUCUGGC
Myotis myotis is the source of this 938-nucleotide long non-coding RNA. RefSeq lists it as uncharacterized. The record is from RefSeq and is a predicted model, not a curated record. Lineage: Eukaryota; Metazoa; Chordata; Mammalia; Chiroptera; Vespertilionidae. The transcript is spliced from 3 exons.